GAUGAAGAAAGUAGCGAAAUGCGAUAAGUAGUGUGAAUUGCAGAAUUCAGUGAAUCAUCGAAUCUUUGAACGCACAUUGCGCCCUUUGGUAUUCCUUAGGGCAUGCCUGUUCGAGCGUCAUUUAAACCUUCAAGCUAAGCUUGGUGUUGGGUGACUGUCCGCUUCACGGCGGACUCGCCUCAAAAUUAUUGGCGGCCGGUACAUUGGCUUCGAGCGCAGCAGAAACGCGAACUCGGGCCCGUCGUAUUGGCUCCCAGAAGCUAUCUUCACAAUUUUGACCUCGGAUCAGGUAGGGAUACCCGCUGAACUUAAGCAUAUCAAUAAGCGGAGGA
This 332-nucleotide unclassified non-coding RNA is filed under the name soil metagenome. RNAcentral describes it as "partial contains 5.8S ribosomal RNA, internal transcribed spacer 2, and large subunit ribosomal RNA". The stretch from base 1 to 120 matches the Rfam family "5.8S ribosomal RNA", at positions 35 to 154 of the family's 154-position model. The record is from RNAcentral.